Molecule: ribosomal RNA, 933 nt
Filed under: Staphylococcus aureus
Lineage: Bacteria; Bacillati; Bacillota; Bacilli; Caryophanales; Staphylococcaceae
Description: partial 23S ribosomal RNA
Rfam family: Bacterial large subunit ribosomal RNA
Source: RNAcentral
GAGAAUGCCGGUGUGAGUAGCGAAAGACGGGUGAGAAUCCCGUCCACCGAUUGACUAAGGUUUCCAGAGGAAGGCUCGUCCGCUCUGGGUUAGUCGGGUCCUAAGCUGAGGCCGACAGGCGUAGGCGAUGGAUAACAGGUUGAUAUUCCUGUACCACCUAUAAUCGUUUUAAUCGAUGGGGGGACGCAGUAGGAUAGGCGAAGCGUGCGAUUGGAUUGCACGUCUAAGCAGUAAGGCUGAGUAUUAGGCAAAUCCGGUACUCGUUAAGGCUGAGCUGUGAUGGGGAGAAGACAUUGUGUCUUCGAGUCGUUGAUUUCACACUGCCGAGAAAAGCCUCUAGAUAGAAAAUAGGUGCCCGUACCGCAAACCGACACAGGUAGUCAAGAUGAGAAUUCUAAGGUGAGCGAGCGAACUCUCGUUAAGGAACUCGGCAAAAUGACCCCGUAACUUCGGGAGAAGGGGUGCUCUUUAGGGUUAACGCCCAGAAGAGCCGCAGUGAAUAGGCCCAAGCGACUGUUUAUCAAAAACACAGGUCUCUGCUAAACCGUAAGGUGAUGUAUAGGGGCUGACGCCUGCCCGGUGCUGGAAGGUUAAGAGGAGUGGUUAGCUUCUGCGAAGCUACGAAUCGAAGCCCCAGUAAACGGCGGCCGUAACUAUAACGGUCCUAAGGUAGCGAAAUUCCUUGUCGGGUAAGUUCCGACCCGCACGAAAGGCGUAACGAUUUGGGCACUGUCUCAACGAGAGACUCGGUGAAAUCAUAGUACCUGUGAAGAUGCAGGUUACCCGCGACAGGACGGAAAGACCCCGUGGAGCUUUACUGUAGCCUGAUAUUGAAAUUCGGCACAGCUUGUACAGGAUAGGUAGGAGCCUUUGAAACGUGAGCGCUAGCUUACGUGGAGGCGCUGGUGGGAUACUACCCUAGCUGUGUUGGCU